This 496-nucleotide ribosomal RNA is filed under the name uncultured bacterium. Its description in RNAcentral is "partial 16S ribosomal RNA". It matches the Rfam family "Bacterial small subunit ribosomal RNA", at positions 28 to 506 of the family's 1533-position model. The record is from RNAcentral.
GAUGAACGCUGGCGGCGUGCCUAAUACAUGCAAGUCGAGCGAACAGACGAGGAGCUUGCUCCUCUGACGUUAGCGGCGGACGGGUGAGUAACACGUGGAUAACCUACCUAUAAGACUGGGAUAACUUCGGGAAACCGGAGCUAAUACCGGAUAAUAUAUUGAACCGCAUGGUUCAAUAGUGAAAGACGGUUUUGCUGUCACUUAUAGAUGGAUCCGCGCCGCAUUAGCUAGUUGGUAAGGUAACGGCUUACCAAGGCAACGAUGCGUAGCCGACCUGAGAGGGUGAUCGGCCACACUGGAACGGAGACCCGGUCCAGACCCCUACGGGAGGCAGCAGUGGGGAAUUUUCCGAAAGGGGCGAAACCCUGACGGGGCAACGCCGCGUGAGUAAUGAAGUUUUUCGGAUUGUAAACCCCUUUUAUUGGGGAAGAAAAAAUGUGUAAGUAAAUAUGCACGUUUUGACGGUACCUAAGAAGAAAGCCACGGCUAACUACGU